Molecule: ribosomal RNA, 119 nt
Filed under: uncultured bacterium
Lineage: Bacteria
Description: partial 16S ribosomal RNA
Rfam family: Bacterial small subunit ribosomal RNA
Source: RNAcentral
UGGGGAAUAUUGCACAAUGGGGGGAAACCCUGAUGCAGCGACGCCGCGUGAGCGAUGAAGUAUUUCGGUAUGUAAAGCUCUAUCAGCAGGGAAGAAAAUGACGGUACCUGACUAAGAAG